This 901-nucleotide long non-coding RNA is filed under the name Panax ginseng (ginseng). Its description in RNAcentral is "long non-coding RNA (PGIN_LNC016242)". Lineage: Eukaryota; Viridiplantae; Streptophyta; Magnoliopsida; Apiales; Araliaceae. The record is from RNAcentral.
UCAAAUGUAUUGAAUAUGACCGGAUGGGAUCGAGUAGUUUUCCAAGUUUUAUUCAAAAGCAUUCGAAAACUAUUAUCAAUGGUGUCGCCUUCACGGUGCAUAGUUGGUAAAUCACGACGCCGGAGCAAACCUUCCAUGCCGGGUACAUUCACAAUUGCUACGUCCAAAUCAUCUCCUAUAAUUAACAAAAUAUGGAUAUGAUCAAGAUCUAAUUUAUUUCUAAUUAAGGAAAAUAUACUUCCUUGCAUCUAUGAUAUAAGAUCAAUUCUUCAAAAUGUAAAAAGAUAUAUAUUAUUGUAAUAAUAUAUUAUAGAACAAAAGUUAACAUUAUUUUGAUCUUAUAUUUUGGAAUGAAAAAAUAUUCUUAUUACUAGAAAUUACAUAAAGGUCACAUCACAUGUUUGAUUCCAUAUAUAUUUAUAUAUUCAUGCAUGAACUUCAAGUUCGGUAUAUUUUUUGUCUAUAGUAUGAAACAUGUAUCGUAGAGUUGCAUAUGAUACCCUAGCCGUCUUUAUUGUACUGUAUUAAUACAAGAGUUUUUUUUGGUGCUAAAUCUAGAGUUUUUUACGCCACUAGUAGAGUUGCUGAAAAUAUUGUUCGGACAUGCAUCAACUGAUUGUGCAGUACAACCAAUGAUGCAUGUCCAAGAAAUCUGGACAUAAUAUUUUCAGGCAUCAAAGGUACGUAUUUGGUUAUUUUUAUAAUCUUCACAUAAGCUUAACCAAUUUUGAACUUAAUGAAAACUUGAUCCAUAUAGUUGAGCCAGUUAAGCUUUUAGUUUUUCAGAGAGCGCACCUUUGAAAGGAAGCUCAUCGGCAUCAACAAGUUCAGGAAUCCAAAAGUUGGCCCAAAAGCCACAAGCGCUCACGGUCCGAAAAUAGAUAACAGGAAUACGAAUUUC